UUCCUUUCCUCAUUCCCAAUCUCCGAUCCAUCCCUAAAAACAACUGACGAGAGAUCGAUGAUGAUGAAGAUGCCUUGGAGGAGGAAGAGCAGGAGCUUCCAUCUUCAGCUACAAGGGGCAAUUGGUACCAUUCAAUCUCCAUUCCUAUUCUUAUUUACCAAUUAUUGCCAUUCUUCUACUUCCACACUUAAAAAUGCACGCUUCUUCACAAAUAACUUCAAAUCUGCUUCUUUUACCCGCCUUGAUGAUGCCAUUGCUUCCUUUAAUCAUGUAAUUCAUAUGCAUCCUCUGCCUUCUAGGGUUCAUUUUAAUAUAUUCUUAUCUGCCCUUGUGAAAAUGAAACAAUAUCACACUGUCCUUUCCAUUUCCAAAACAAUUGAAUUGCUAGGAAUCUCUCACAAUAUUUAUUCUCUUAACAUCUUAAUUAAUUGCUUCUGCCGUUUACAUCUUGUGGAUUUUGGCUUCUCUGUUUUCGGAAAGAUGUUCAAAUUCAGAUUGGAGCCUACCACUGUGACAUUUACUACCUUAAUUAAUGGGCUUUGUAUAGAGAGUAAAAUGGACAAAGCAGUGGAAUUUUUCGAUGAUAUGGUUGCACGUGGUUAUCAACCUAAUGUUUAUACUUUCAAUGUCAUAGUAAAGGGAUUGUGUAAAUUUGGUAAAACAAAUCUGGCUAUUGAGCUACUAAAGGAAAUGGCUGAUAGAGGUUGUGAGCCAGAUGUUGUGACAUACAAUGCAAUCAUUGACACCCUUUGCAAAGAUGAGCUAGUUGGUGAGGCUUUAGAGCUCUUCUCUCAAAUGAGGAAUAAGGGCAUUUCACCUGAUGUCAUCACUUACACUGGUUUAAUUCAUGGUGUUUGCAAAUUAGGCCAAAAGAACCAAGCUUUGGCCUUGAUGAAUGAAAUGGUGGAGCAGAACAUAUUACCAAAUGUUUAUACCUUCAGUGUAUUGAUUGAUGCUCUUUGUAAGGAUGGAAUGGUUUCAGAGGCUCAAAAUACAUUCAAUAUAAUGAUUCAAAGAGGUGUAGAGCCUAAUGUGGUCACCUACACUUCCUUAAUUGAUGGUCUUUGCAUUUCAGACCAUUUCAAGGAAGCUUUGGACUUGUUGAAAGAAAUGGUGGGGAGGAACAUAUCCCCUAAUGUUUUUACCUUCAAUAUAUUGAUCGACACUCUUUGUAAGAAAGGACUGGUUUCAAAUGCACAGAAUAUAAUCAAAAUAAUGAUUCAAAGAUGUGUGGAACCUAAUGUUGUCAUUUAUAAUUCAUUGAUGGAUGGAUAUUGUCUGUGCAAGCAAAUUGAUAAGGCUAGAAAGGUAUUUGAUCUGAUGGUGACCAAUGAAAUAGCUAACAUUUUUAGCUACAACAUUUUGAUCAAUGGAUAUUGUAAUCGCAAAAUGAUAGAUGAUGCAAAGGGGAUUUUUGAUGAAAUGUCUCAUAAAGGUUUAGUUCCUAAUGCUGUUACUUAUCAUACUCUUAUAAAGGGUAUGUUUGAAGCAGGGAGGCCCCAAAAUGCAAAAGAGCUCUUUAAGGAUAUGUGCUCUCAUGGUCAACAACCAAAUAUAGUAACCUUCUCAAUUAUGAUUGAUGGCUUGUGUAGACAGGGGAAUCUCGAUGAGGCACUCACACUAUUGAAAGCAAUGGAGAAAAGUCAGUUGAAGCCUAAUGUUGUGAUCUAUAGCAGUUUGAUCAAUGGUAUGUGCAAAGUUGGGAAGAUUAAUGAUGCCAAGGAACUUUUUUCUAGUCUUUUUGAAAUUGGUUUACAACCUGAUGUUUAUGUAUAUUAUGCAAUUAUGAAAGGACUUUGCCAAGAAGGAUUAAUGGAUGAAGCGUACAAGGUAUUUAAAGACAUGGAAAAGGUAGGAUGUUUACCAAAUAAUUUUUGUUAUAAUAUCAUCAUUAAAGGGUUUCUCAGGCAUGAGGAUUUACCAAAAGCAUCAGAACUAAUCAACGAAAUAGUUGAUAAGGGGUUCUGUGCUGAUGAUGCUACCACAGAAUUGGUAGUACAUUUAUCGCGGAAUAAUUAUCUCAUUCUGAGGCUUUUAAAGGUGCGCAAUGAGGGAUCAGCAAACUAAAGUUGUUAUAUCUUGACCAUUCAAUUGUAUCUUGGAGCGCAACUUGGAAAUUACCUUUUUCAAAUAUAAUAGAUAUGUAAUUUAACUAACUUCUUCAAAUAUCAUUUUUAAUUUCAAUCAGUUGUGAUUCUCUUCCACAAAACGAAAAUUUCUAACACUGCAAAUUACCUGUGGUGGAAACCAUGAUAUGUGUGUGCCUUUCGCUUGAAUUCAGACAUGGACUUGGAUGUCUUUGAUAUAAGAUUGUUGAUGAAUGGAGGUCAUGGAUUUCUAAUGAUCAAGUUGCUGGUAAACCCACCAUCUCCUUUACAGAUUUUUUUUGGCUGCUACUACAGCCUUAACUCGAGAGCUCAGUCCUAAAAUUGAGGUUAGAACUAAAACUAAUUGGUUCCAUACUACAAUGCUUAAGAAUCUUUAUCUAUUUUUAUUUUUGUGCUCAAUGACCUUUUAAAAUGCUAUCAUUUCUCUUGUAGGUACUUGCAAGGAUAUGAUUACAACUUCACCUUUCUAACCAUAAAGGUAUAAGCAAUUCUUUUUUGCUUAAUUAUUAUAUUUUUAAUAAUAAUGAAAAUAAUGAUUAUAAACCAGUGUGCUUUAAUUGAGAAUUGAUUUAACAAUUAGACUACACUAUAAAUGCAGGGUGCCGGAUAUACAGUCCCAGAGUACAAGGUAAGAGAAUCACUAGAGUUCUACCGCUGUUGGUUGGAUGAAAUGUAACUAAAAUUAUACACAACAGAAAAUGUUAUGGGAAUUGAGGGAAAGGCAAACAUCCUCUUUGUCAAUAUAGUAUAUAACGGAUAUAUUUUAGUGUUGGAACACCAUUUGAGUUAUUUACAUGGUGCAUUUUGCGAUACAUUUGUGUGGUGUUAUGAAUGUGAAACGCAUUGUUUCUUACUGUUUGAGAUGUUAGUUAAGUUAGGCAAGAAAAGUUGUUUUGGCUGUUGCUUUUCUCCUUUCAGCAGUAUAUUGUUUAGUUUGUGAAAGUGUUAUAUUUGGUUGCAGAGAAAUAAAGUGGUUUACUGGAGAUUUUGGAACCAAAGGGACAUUUAUACUUUUUGGAGGGCAAAUUCAAAGCGGCAAUAUAAUGAUUUAUUUGGCUUUAAAGAGAGAUAAAUCAAUGUCAAUCAGACUAUGAGUCCUACUAGAGGUUCUUAUACCCCACUUCUGAUUAGAUUGAUAGGAGAAUGAGAGAUAGCUGAGUUUCAAGAGGUGAUUUGUUCAGAAAUCACAGAGGCAACCAGUUACAAGAUUUUGGAGUCGCUUUUAUCAAAAUAUCAGUUUUAGAGCUACUCAUACAAAACUAAAUAUAAAAGGAAGUUUAUUGUUAGCAAACUGAUAUAUUUUUCUAUGCUACAAAAUCUCAGUAUCAUGCAAUAUAUCGUUUUAAUGGUUCAAGCGAGAUAGUGGGCAACAUGCUAAAAGGAAAAAUUAUAAUUCUGAUACUUUUGUCAACAAAUUUUACUAACAAAUUUUAUCAAUGUACAUUAGUAAUUUUAACAGAUUUAUUAACGAAUUUGGAAAUCUUUUGAUAAUUAAAUAUAAAAAGUUGUGUAAACAUUCACUAGAUCCGUUAGUAAAUCACUAACAAUUUUAAUAUGUUAGUAAAUUUUGAGGUGUAAAUGAAAUAAAUUGUUUGUGAGCUAUUCGAGAUUCCAUGAGAUAAAAAUUCGUCCAAAUUUGACUCGAUUUCUAAACGAAUCAAAUUCAAACUUAAUUUUUAGGCUUGUUUAGUAAAUGAGACAAACUGAAACUCCAUAGUAUUCGUCUCGUCAAGGUUCGCGAGUUCGGCUGGUGUUCAAGUUCAUGAGCAGGCUGGCGAAUGGACUCCUGAAUAGUCUCGUUAAGAAGGCUGAGAUUAAUAUCAUAAGAGAAAUAAAUUUAAAUUCUACAUAUAUUUUCAUGAGUCAAAUCUAAAUUUUAUAAAGUUCAAUUCUAUAUUGUUUAAUUAUACUAUUAUAACUUGUAUAUAUUUGGAUUGUUAAGAGCUCAUCUUUAUAAGUUUAGGAGCUAAUUUGUAUAUAUACUUAUUUAGUUAAAAUUAUUUAGUUUUAAACUAAUUAAUUUUAAAUGAAAAUUCAUUAUACAUGUAAAUAAAUUGAAUUAUUGGUGAAUUAUUCGAGAUUAAACUCGAUAAAAACUUAACUCGUCUAAGUUUAUUUGCUAAAGGAGUCAAGUUUGAACUUAUUAAUACUCGGUUCAAAUUCGAAAUGAGUAAAACUCGAAUUCGACUCGAACUUAAAAAAAUUUUAACGAAUUAAAUUUAAACUUUUCAAAAUUCAGCUCUACUCGAUUCAUUUACACCCUAAGUAAAUUUUAAAAAGUCUUUAAAUUACUAAUAAAUUCUAAAUCCAUAGAUAAUUUGUCCAAAAAAUUAUUAACGGAUUUGAAAAUUCAUUAUUAAACUUUAUCAUCAAAUUAAUAAAUAAAGAAAAAAUAUUGAAUUUAUCAACGGAUGCUAUCUGCGGAUAAAUUCAUUAAUAAAUUUAAAAUAAAAUUUUACAAACAAUUUUUGCAUUUUUUUUUGCAAUUCACAUUUUCCGGUUACCAAUAAAUUUACUAACAUAUUUCAAAUCCAUGGGUGAUUUUCAAAGAGAAAAAGAUUGCUUUUCUUAAAAAAAAAAAAUUAGUAACGAAUUGCAAAUUCAUUAGUAAUUCACGUUUAUAAAUAUAACACUGCUUUUAUCAUUCAUUCAUCUUAUAAUCUACAUUUCUUCCAUUUUUUUCUUUCUCUCAUUUUCUUUCUUUUUUCUCUUACUUUCUUUCAUUUCAUUUUUUCAUCUCAUAAGUUUUUUUUCUUAUUUUUUAUAUUCUUUUUCUUUUAUCUCUUAUCCUAUUUUCUCGCAUCUUCUUUUCUCUUCUAUUAUUUUUUUCAUUCUUCAUAAUUUUCCUUUCAUUUUCUCCCAACUCUUUUCCAUCUUUUUCUUUCCUUUCCUUUUAUCUUCUUUGUUUUCUAUAUACUUUUCAUUCAUGUUAGUUUUUUAAUUUUAUUUUCUUUUAUCAUUUCUUUCUAUCUACAUUUUUUCUAUUAUUUUCUCUUUAUUUAUUUUCUUCUCUAAUUAUUUGUUCAUUUUUUUCAUUUUUCUAAUCAUCUUUUUACUCGACUCUCACUCUUUCUUCUUUUUCAUAAUUUUUAUUUUUCUAUUAUUUUCUUUAUUUUUCUUUUUUUUCUUUCUUUUUAUUAUUUUCUCUCAUUUUAUACCAUUUAUUUUUUUUAUUUUUACUUUUUAAGAUAUAAAUUAAAAAUUUAGUAACAACAAUAAUAUAAUUUUAAGUCUUAUUAAAUUAAUAAAAAAUUAUUUAAACUCUCAAUAGAUUUAUUAAUGGAUUGCAAUUCGUUGAUAAUUUACUAACAGAUUUUACAUCUGUUAAUAAAUUAUUUUUCUUUUAUACUAACAGAUUUAAAGUUUGUUAAUAAUUUAAAAUCAGUUAGCAAUUUAAAAUCUGUUGGUAAUAAUAAUGAAAAUUCCGUUAAUAAAUCCACUAGUAUUAUUAAUGAAAUUAAAAGUCGUUGGUAAAAAUUUACCAUCGAACUUUUUAACAACAGAUCGUAAUCUGUUAGUAAUCCAUUAUUAAUUCAUUUACCAAUAAAUUUUUAUUGGAUUGCCAAUGGAAAAAUCACUGUAUUAUCAAUACAAAUUAAGAAAUUGUUGAUUCAUAUCUUUACAAUAAGAUGUCUUUUAAACUCUUAAGACUUUUGAAGCUAAAAUUGAAGAAACAUUCAUGAUAUUGUAUUUCUCCUUUGGUUGAAACUGUUAUUCAUGCAAGAUGAUUUUCUCUGUUAUAACACUUUGAAAUAAUGUCUAUUAUUGGAAUGCAUAUAACUAUUUGACCGAUAUAAAAUAGGUAUAAUGAGUAUAUAGUUAUCUAUCAGUUUGUGUCAUUUAAUUUUACUGUCUGUUUAUAAAUAUAUUUACAUUCAUUUAAUUUUAAUAUCACAUUGGUAAAUUAUAAGAGAUGAAGAGUUAUCAUUUCCUAUAAAAAGAGAAGGUCUCUCCUCCGUACAAUAUUAGUACCUGGUUUUUAUUAUAUUAUGAUAUUCUUAUAUAGGGCCAUCAGAAAAUUUAGAUAUUUUUAUUUAAUUUUAUUUUAAAACUAUUUCUAAGCUCUAACUAAUAAUUCAGCUUGAAUGCAAGCUCACCACGAGCCACGCUCGAAUCAAGUUCAAGUUAAAGUUCGUUAAAUAUUUCAUGAAUCGAAUUCGAACUUGUAAAAAUUUUUUUAAAAGCAAGCUUGAACUUUAGAAAUGUUGGCUCGACUCAAUUAUCUCUAACCAUUUGAAUUACAAAUAAAUUCAUUAAUAGAUUAAUUGUAUGUAUCAUUAAUAGAUUUAUAAACGGAUAAAUCAUUUGAAUUACAAACAAAUUUAUAAAUAGAUUAACCAUUUGUAUCAUAAAUGGAUUUAUAAGGUUUAUAUUAUAAAUGGAUUUACAAAAAGAUUAUCCGUUUAUAUGUGAAAUUUCAUUUCUAAAUAAUAGGGAAUAUGUGAAUGAAAAAUAUAAACGAAUAUCAAAUUUGUUUAUAUCAUAAAUGGUUAUUCUGUUUAUAAAUCCAUUUGUAUCAUAAACAAAUUAUUUUUCGUUUGAAAAAAAAAAUACAAACAAUAUUUAAACAAAUGGACAAAAGUCUAUUUAUGAUCCAUUUGUAAAUUUAAUUUUUUUUUAAAGUGCUAGAGAUUUAGUAAGUUGGAGAGAGCAGAGCUAACAGCAGCCUCUCUCUUAUAACCAUUCGAAGACUAGAGUCAUAUCUGUGGCAUUAAUAGCAUCUUGAUAUGUCACCUCCCUAGAAAAUUUGAACCCAUCCUACAAAAAAGAAUAUAUGCAAGCAAACCACAGCUCCCUCAGUCGUCGGAAGAGUGAUAUCACAUCUUGAAAAUACUCUCACCAUGAAGCUCCAAAUCUAGAAAUGUAAAAGCAAAAAUAGAAAAACACAGUAUUUUCACCCCAGCCCUAGAGACAAGGAGAGUAAACCCACAUCCAAGGCUCGAGGAAGCCAUCCCGUACUUAAAAGGUAUAGGGAAAGGCUGCCCUCAGAAGUAAACAGGUAGAGAUAAAGCUUUAUUAUAAUCUAAUAAUUUGAUUGGUUAUUUAAAAUAUCUAAUUUGAUUGGUUAAUUAUAUUAGUUUUCUAUUAAAAUUUAAACCAAAAUUUUAUUAUAAUCUAAUAUAAAAAAUUAACUAAAAUUUAAACUUCCAACUUAAAAGAUCAUCAAAAGUAUGAAUAUUUUUAAUGCUGAAUAUUUGAGUUUGUGGCUAAAAUUUUUGGAAUUCCCAAUUUCCUUUUGUUAUCCUUACCACAUUACCAGCUGGCAGAGAGCCUUCCUUUUCCGAUUCUCUGUUUCCUUUCCCCAUUCCCAAUCUCCGAUCCAUCCCCAAAAACAACUGACGAGAGAUCGAUGAUGAUGAAGAUGCCUUGGAGGAGGAAGAGUAGGAGCUUCCAUCUUCAGCUACAAGGGGCAAUUGGUACCAUUCAAUCUCCAUUCCUAUUCUUAUUUACCAAUUAUUGUCAUUCUUCUACUUCCACACUUGAAGAUGCACGCUUCUUGACAAAUAACUUCAAAUCUGCUUCUUUUACCCGCCUUGAUGAUGCCAUUGCUUCCUUUAAUCAUGUAAUUCAUAUGCAUCCUCUUCCUUCUAGGGCUCAAUUUAGUAGAUUCUUCUCUGCCCUUGUGAAAAUGAAACAAUAUCACACUGUAUUUUCCAUGUCCAAAACAAUUGAAUUGGUAGGAAUCUCCCACGAUGUUUAUUCUCUUAGCAUCUUAAUUAAUUGCUUCUGCCACUUACACCUUGUGGAUUUUGGCUUCUCUGUUUUCGGAAAGAUGUUCAAAUUCGGAUUGGAG
RNAcentral lists this long non-coding RNA (7902 nucleotides) under Manihot esculenta (cassava). RNAcentral describes it as "long non-coding RNA (MESC_LNC012199)". The record is from RNAcentral. Lineage: Eukaryota; Viridiplantae; Streptophyta; Magnoliopsida; Malpighiales; Euphorbiaceae.